AACGUAGGAGACAAACGUUAUCCGGAGUUACUGGGCGUAAAGGGCGCGUAGGCGGGAUGGCAAGUCGGUCGUGAAAUCCCUCGGCUCAACUGAGGAUCGUCGAUCGAUACUGCCGUUCUUGAGGAUUGCAGAGGAGACUGGAAUUCCCGGUGUAGCGGUGAAAUGUGUAGAGAUCGGGAGGAACACCGGUGGCGAAGGCGGGUCUCUGGGCAAUUCCUGACGCUGAGGCGCGAAAGCGUGGGGAGCAAACGGG
RNAcentral lists this ribosomal RNA (253 nucleotides) under uncultured bacterium. RNAcentral describes it as "partial 16S ribosomal RNA". It matches the Rfam family "Bacterial small subunit ribosomal RNA", at positions 524 to 776 of the family's 1533-position model. The record is from RNAcentral.